Molecule: small RNA, 117 nt
Filed under: Mycolicibacterium fluoranthenivorans
Lineage: Bacteria; Bacillati; Actinomycetota; Actinomycetes; Mycobacteriales; Mycobacteriaceae
Description: sRNA Ms_IGR-7
Rfam family: Actinobacteria sRNA Ms_IGR-7
Source: RNAcentral
CGGAAGUGCCUUUCCGAACUGGACCGAUUGAUGCGUGAGAACACCAAUCAUCCCAGCCCAGAGGGCACUUUCCUCAUUCCGACACCCCUAUACAACCAGGUCAGUCGGUGGAACGAG